AGCACUUUAUUUGAUUUCCUUCGGGACUGAUUAUUUUGUGACUGAGUGGCGGACGGGUGAGUAACGCGUGGGUAACCUGCCUUGUACAGGGGGAUAACAGUUGGAAACGGCUGCUAAUACCGCGUAAGCGCACAGCAUCGCAUGAUGCAGUGUGAAAAACUCCGGUGGUAUAAGAUGGACCCGCGUUGGAUUAGCUAGUUGGUGAGGUAACGGCCCACCAAGGCGACGAUCCAUAGCCGACCUGAGAGGGUGACCGGCCACAUUGGGACUGAGACACGGCCCAAACUCCUACGGGAGGCAGCAGUGGGGAAUAUUGCACAAUGGGCGAAAGCCUGAUGCAGCGACGCCGCGUGAGCGAAGAAGUAUUUCGGUAUGUAAAGCUCUAUCAGCAGGGAAGAUAAUGACGGUACCUGACUAAGAAGCACCGGCUAAAUACGUGCCAGCAGCCGCGGUAAUACGUAUGGUGCAAGCGUUAUCCGGAUUUACUGGGUGUAAAGGGAGCGCAGGCGGUGCGGCAAGUCUGAUGUGAAAGCCCGGGGCUCAACCCCGGUACUGCAUUGGAAACUGUCGUACUAGAGUGUCGGAGGGGUAAGCGGAAUUCCUAGUGUAGCGGUGAAAUGCGUAGAUAUUAGGAGGAACA
This 640-nucleotide ribosomal RNA is filed under the name uncultured Lachnospiraceae bacterium. RNAcentral describes it as "bacterial SSU rRNA". It matches the Rfam family "Bacterial small subunit ribosomal RNA", at positions 63 to 708 of the family's 1533-position model. The record is from RNAcentral. Lineage: Bacteria; Bacillati; Bacillota; Clostridia; Lachnospirales; Lachnospiraceae.